Molecule: non-coding RNA, 112 nt
Organism: Caerostris darwini
Lineage: Eukaryota; Metazoa; Arthropoda; Arachnida; Araneae; Araneidae
Source: the annotation of a GenBank genome assembly
AACGGCCGUACCAUGCUGAAUAUACCGGUUCUCGUUAGAUCACCGAAGUCAAGCAUCAUUGGGCGCGGUCAGUACUUGGGUGGGUGACCACCUGGGAACACUGAGUGCCGUU